CGUCGCUCGUCAGAGUUUGAUCCUGGCUCAGGAUGAACGCUAGCUACAGGCUUAACACAUGCAAGUCAGGGGCAGCAUGGGCUUAGCUUGCUAAGCCCGAUGGCGACCGGCGGAUGGGUGCGUAACGCGUAUGCAACUUGCCUCUGAGCGUGGCAUAACCCGGAGAAAUUCGGACUAAUACGACAUAAUAUCCAUAUUCUGCAUGGGGUAUGGAUUAAAGAUUUAUCACUCAGAGAUAGGCAUGCGUUCCAUUAGGUAGUUGGUAGGGUAACGGCCUACCAAGCCGACGAUGGAUAGGGGUGCUGAGAGGCUUAUCCCCCACACUGGGACUGAGACACGGCCCAG
Molecule: ribosomal RNA, 345 nt
Filed under: uncultured bacterium
Lineage: Bacteria
Description: bacterial SSU rRNA
Rfam family: Bacterial small subunit ribosomal RNA
Source: RNAcentral